This is a non-coding RNA of Pelobates cultripes (western spadefoot toad), 268 nucleotides long. The record is from the annotation of a GenBank genome assembly. NCBI's taxonomy places the organism in Eukaryota, Metazoa, Chordata, Amphibia, Anura, Pelobatidae.
GUUAAUCAAAGAAAUUUUCUACACAAAAUCCUCCAAAAAAUCGCGAACAUACAACAAGGCAUCACAGUGCUCUGCGGGGAUUUUAAUCACAUCCUAGACCCUAAACUCGACACUACACUGCCCCAACACAGCCGCAGACACCGCCCCUUGAAAAGACAAUGCAAGGCCAUACAAAAACUUCUGCACACACAUCACUUUUAUGACACAUGGAGACUCACACACCCCAGCGAACGGACAUAUACACACUACUCCCCAGUGCAUAAUUCUU